This 406-nucleotide ribosomal RNA is filed under the name uncultured bacterium. RNAcentral describes it as "partial 16S ribosomal RNA". It matches the Rfam family "Bacterial small subunit ribosomal RNA", at positions 30 to 526 of the family's 1533-position model. The record is from RNAcentral.
AUUGAACGCUGGCGGCAUGCUUUACACAUGCAAGUCGGACGAGUGGCGAACGGGUGAGUAACGCAUCGGAACGUACCGAGUAAUGGGGGAUAACUUUUCGAAAGGACAGCUAAUACCGCAUAUCAUCCGAGCGACCGAUGUCUGAUUAGCUGUGUGGGGGGGUAAAGGCCCACCAAGGCGACGAUCAGUAGCGGGUCUGAGAGGAUGAUCAGCCACACUGGGACUGAGACACGGCCCAGACUCCUACGGGAGGCAGCAGUGGGGAAUUUUGGACAAUGGGCGCAAGCCUGAUCCAGCCAUGCCGCGUGUAUGAAGAAGGCCUUCGGGUUGUAAAGUACUUUUGUCAGGGAAGCGGUACCUAAAGAAUAAGCACCGGCUAACUACGUGCCAGCAGCCGCGGUAAUAC